Molecule: non-coding RNA, 77 nt
Organism: Podarcis lilfordi (Lilford's wall lizard)
Lineage: Eukaryota; Metazoa; Chordata; Lepidosauria; Squamata; Lacertidae
Source: the annotation of a GenBank genome assembly
GGAGGUGGGCUGUAGCUUAGGGGUAGAACAUCUGCUUUGCAUGCAGAAGGUCCUAGGUUUGAUUCCCAGCGCCUCCG